CCUACGGGAGGCAGCAGUGAGGAAUAUUGGUCAAUGGGCGGAAGCCUGAACCAGCCAAGUAGCGUGCGGGAUGAAGGCCCUACGGGUCGUAAACCGCUUUGCACGGGGAUAACACCCUCCACUUGUGGAGGUCUGCAGGUACCGUGCGAAUAAGGGCCGGCUAAUUCCGUGCCAGCAGCCGCGGUAAUACGGAAGGCCCGAGCGUUAUCCGGAUUCAUUGGGCUUAAAGGGUGCGCAGGCGGGCCUUUAAGCCGGCGGUGAAAUCGCGGGGCUCAACCCCGCCGAGCCGUCGGAACUGGGGGCCUUGAGUGCGGCGGAGGCAUGCGGAAUGCGCGGUGUAGCGGUGAAAUGCAUAGAUAUCGCGCAGAACCCCGAUUGCGAAGGCAGCGUGCCGUGCCGCCACUGACGCUGAGGCACGAAAGCGCGGGGAUCGAACAGGAUUAGAUACCCCUGUAGUC
Molecule: ribosomal RNA, 458 nt
Filed under: uncultured bacterium
Lineage: Bacteria
Description: partial 16S ribosomal RNA
Rfam family: Bacterial small subunit ribosomal RNA
Source: RNAcentral